GUCUGAAAUCAGGAUGGCUCUUAAGAGCUUUCAAAAGAGGCUCUGCAGGUGCUAGCCAGGGAACCUAACAAGUUGCUUUUGCUUGCGUGUGUGCAUGUGGCAACUUUACCAGGCCCAGAAGGGAGGUGUUCACUUCAUUUGAUUUAGUAUCACUGGGAGCACCACUGGUGCACGCUAUCUCAAUUUAAUUUAGAAGUGUCAUUGUAAAACAGCAACAAAAAUAUUUUCAAACGGGUUUCCCCCAUAGUGCAGCAUUGAAACAGAGUUACUGUGAAUACAGAAGACUGUCUAUCCCACAGCAGGCAAUGCAAUUAAAGACUUCAGAGAAUGCCAGAUUUUUCAGAAUGCAUCAUAGAAUUUUCAAAGCUGUAAGAAAGAGGUGAGGAUGCUGAGAUGUAGAGAGACUGAUUUGCUCAAGAUAACAAAGAGUUUUAUUGAUUUGGGAACCCAUGGAAGGGGGUCAGCUGUGAGAUAUCACAUGAUCAGACUGACUGCCUGACCAGACUGACUGCCAUCCUGUUAAAGGAAUGAAUCACAGUUCAUCUCGCAGAUUUAUGGCAUGCCUACAGAAAAAGUACCUUAUGAUGCAAACCUGAAAGUUUAAAUAAUCUCCUGAAAGUUCCACAAUCAGCUGCAGAGAACUCCAGGAGCUGUUUUUAAAGAAGAUUAAGAUAUUGCGGGUAACACGUGUUCCAUAUCAUCUGAUAUUAUACACAGGAAGAAGGUAAACUUAUUAAUUAAAAAAGUCUUGCAAAAGGAACUUGCAGCCUGCAUUAUGUUAGUAGUUGGUUGCUUUUUAAAUACGAAAGAAAAAAGAGUAAAUUAUGUACUCCUGAAAAUUUGAUCCUUGUUCUUAUGGGAAAAUAUGGCAAAACAUAGAAACUCUGUUAAUGGCAAAACUUAUUAGGAUAAGGACUCCUCGCCUGGGGUUCAGGGAA
This 938-nucleotide long non-coding RNA is filed under the name Homo sapiens (human). RNAcentral describes it as "HSALNT0343647". The record is from RNAcentral. Lineage: Eukaryota; Metazoa; Chordata; Mammalia; Primates; Hominidae.